AGGACGAACGCUGGCGGCGUGCUUAACACAUGCAAGUCGAGCGGAAAGGCCCUUCGGGUACUCGAGCGGCGAACGGGUGAGUAACACGUGAGCAACCUGCCCCUGGCUCUGGGAUAGCUCCGGGAAACCGGGAUUAAUACCGGAUAUGACCCCCUUCUGCAUGGUGGGGGUGGAAAGUUUUUCGGCUGGGGAUGGGCUCGCGGCCUAUCAGCUUGUUGGUGGGUGAUGGCCUACCAAGGCGACGACGGGUA
RNAcentral lists this ribosomal RNA (251 nucleotides) under uncultured bacterium. Its description in RNAcentral is "partial small subunit ribosomal RNA". It matches the Rfam family "Bacterial small subunit ribosomal RNA", at positions 26 to 285 of the family's 1533-position model. The record is from RNAcentral.